GGGCCUAUAGCUCAGUUGGUUAGAGCACCUGACUCAUAAUCAGGUGGUCCCAGGUUCGAGUCCUGGUGGGCCCACAA
RNAcentral lists this transfer RNA (77 nucleotides) under Flammeovirgaceae bacterium TMED32. RNAcentral's name for it is "tRNA-Met". It matches the Rfam family "tRNA". Rfam says of the family: Transfer RNA (tRNA) molecules are approximately 80 nucleotides in length. The record is from RNAcentral. Lineage: Bacteria; Pseudomonadati; Bacteroidota; Cytophagia; Cytophagales; Flammeovirgaceae.